This is a non-coding RNA of Coturnix japonica (Japanese quail), 4766 nucleotides long. Lineage: Eukaryota; Metazoa; Chordata; Aves; Galliformes; Phasianidae. The record is from RefSeq and is a predicted model, not a curated record.
GUUGAUGUCACUGCCAAGCUGCUCUCCAUCCUAUUUGAAGAGUCAUGGCUGUUAGGUGAAGUCCCUUGUCUUGCAGUGUCCCUUGCAAUGUGCCUUGCAUUUAAGAGAUAUCUCAAUGUAUUCUUUGUUCACAUGAGAAAACUCCCUUUAUCACUGUAACAAUAAUUGUUGGAUAGACCAACCAAAUUAAAAGAACCAAAUAAGUCCUGCUGACUUCACAGGUUGAAAGGGUUUCAUUCAGUCCACAGAAUCUGGCUAAACAAAAUUAUCGUGUAGGUUGGUUAAAAAUGCUUAGCAGGAGAUAGAUAUUAUGUGACCUGAGUGCCUUUAAUUAGACAAAGCAACACAUUUAGUUACCAGCUCUUUAUUAUCCAUGAGGCAUACCACCUCUGCACAUCUCAUCCUCAACUUACUGCACAAAGUAGUUGAGUUUGGAGGAAGAUCUUCUCCCUGUUGUUUUGCCCUGGGCCAUCUUACUCCCUUAAAACAAGGUUGCUUUCAUGUAUUUAGCAGCUGUUUUGAACAGCAAGUCCAAUGGAUGGUGAAAUAUUAACCAGCUGCCCACUGCCCCCUUUAUUAACAAAGGAUAGUUGGAUCAGUCAUUAACCCUUCAGCCUGAUAUUUGAAGCCUUGGGCUUAACAUUCUGAGGGUGAGGCCUAGCCAUGCUCAAGUGAGGGUUGUGAGACUGAUCCUUGAAGUUCAAUCACUGCACCACUGCCACAGCUGGUGGCCAGCUCCCAGAAAGAAAGAGGAAACUGAAGAGCUGUGUGAUUUCAUGAGAAGUAUCAUAAAUCAGUGAGAUUACCCUUUGUACAUCGGAUACUGCAUUUUGCUGGUGCUUUAAAUGUCUAGAAGUGAACGGCCCUGUUUUCUCUUGGAGGAACUUCAAGCAUGUUACGAGCUGACUUUCAGGCCCUUCAGAAAUUCCUCAGAAAGAGGAAUUCACAGAACAGAUUGCUGCAGUCCUGUCCCUUGCCUUGCAAAUUGCUUAAAUGGUUGCACUGAGAUUAUCUUCCCUAGCAUGUGUGGAAGUAUGCAGUACAACAAAUCUGAUCUGAAGUAGUUUUGAAUAGAACAGGCAGUUUGCUUAUGGCACCUGGUCAAAUGAAAUUAGUCAUGUCCGACACCCCGAGGUCUGGAAAUGCUCACAAACAAAACUAACAGAAGGAAAACACACAGCGACUCAAUGCAGAUUUAAAGAUUUAAAGACAGAUUUUAAGCCCCUGACCACUUGUUUGUUAAUUGGUUUCCAGCAGAGAAUAAUGACAGCACAGCCUCCCCUCCCAGCACAGCCUCAUCUGCCUGUUCAAAGCACAGUGAAUUUGUCCUAAGGUACAGCCACCAUUUUCUCCACACAGUAAAAAAACAGCCCUUUAAAUGUGGAAAAUUUUAAAUGGGCCAGAACUUAAAAUGCAAUUUAAUUUAAAUACGCGUUCAAUCCAACAGCCUAAUCAUUGAGCAUCUUGAAAGAGCUUUAGGGCUCAUUUAACCAGGAGUUUUUACAGGUCGUCUAACUAAUAGCAGUCUUCAAGGCAUUAAACAAUUUUAAUGGAGUCUGAGAUCUGUAAAGGUGUUCAUUAACACGGUUCAAACAAAUAUCUCUAUCAGGCAGUACGUGGGACCAAUCCAUUCUAGAUCUCAUGGUGAUGGCACAGAGUGCACCCUUGGUGUUUGUUCAUGAUACCAAAUUGGGUGGAGUGGCAAAUAAACUGGAGGGCUGUGCUGCCAUUCAGAGAGACCUGGACAGGCUGAGAACUGGACAGAAAAUAACAUCAUGAAGUUCCACAAGAGCAAGUGUAGAGACUUGCACCUGGGGAGGAAUAAUUGCAUGCAUCAGUACAGGUUAGGAGCUGACCUGCUGCAGUGGAGCUCUGCAGAGGACUUGGGUGUCUUGGUGUAGGGAAACUGUUAUGGCACAACCUGAACUGAUGAAUGAGCACUUGGUGAAGGGGUGGCCAGCCCAGGAAGCAGAGGUGCAAGCAAUUCACCUCUGCUUCCCAUGUAACUCCAUCCCUCCCUGGGCUCAUUUAAGGGCUAUCCUCUGGAAGGAGAAUGUUUCUUGGGUGAAGGUCACUUCCUGAGAAGGGGUGUGUUAUAGCUAGAGACCUGUAGAGCCAGUUGGGUGUGUUAACUUUUUCUUAUAUGUGAUUAUUGAUAUUUCUAGGAGUACCAUCUGCAGUACUGCAUCCAAGCCUGGGGCCCCCAGUACAAGAAGGAUGUGGAGCUCUUGGAGCAGGUUCAGAGGAGGGACACUAAGAUGAUCAGAGGGAUGGAGCACCUCUACUAUGAGGGAAGGUUGAAGGAAUCGGGAUUGUUUAACUUGGAGAAGAGAAGGCUCUGGAGAGACCUCAUUGUGGCCUUACAGUACUUGAAGGCAGCCUAGAAGCAGGAGGGGGAAUGGCUGUUUACAAAGGCAGACAAGGGACUCGAGUGAGCCCAGCAAAGGACUAUGAAGAUGAUUAAGGGCCUGGAGCAUCUGUAAUGCAAAGAGAGGUUGGGAGAAUUGUGCUUGUCCAGCCUGGAGAAGACUGAGAGAGGCACUUAUGAAUGUAGCCUAGAUGAUCCCAAGUGGUUCCUUCCAAUCUCAACCAUUCUGUGACUUUUAUUUUUUCUGAUGAAUCAGAGGAAGGCUGGGAAAAAAACAAAAACUGCUGAGGGGGCAGGAGAGCAACCUCACACCAGCAGCCACUGUGCCCACUACCAUUUCCCGUCUGUCUGUCCUGCGGUUGUUGUGCAGUGUGAGGCUUUUGAAGUCCAGAGAGUUCAGACCGAGUCAGUCUGUGCUACACAGGUUCUCAUGUUCAUGUUAUUCUUGCAUGGUUCUGCUUAUCCAAGGGGGUGGAAGGCCAAAAGGUUGUCCUAAGUCCUUAAGGAGCAAGAAUUAUGGAGAAAUGUAAUACCAGUUCCAAAUGUCUUAAUCACUAAAACCUGUGCCUUUGUCCCGUCCUCUGUCUUUGGGAACAUGCUUGGCUGAUGGAGACACAUGUAUGCCUACCUUCACUGCUUCUUCUGGACAAUGAAUCUGGGGGAAGAGCAAGCUGGACUCCGUGCAAAAUAGGUUAUGUAUCACCUUGUACUCAAGACCCCUCCAUUAAAUCAUCUUUGCACUCUUUGCAAGCACUCCCUACAUCCCACGCCAUGCACCUUAGAUUCUCAUUAGCAGAUCAGAGUGAAGAGAUUCAAGUACUUAUUGGUGCUGGAAGAAAUGGAGGAGACUGGAGCCUUAAAGCUGCAUAGGAUGCUUCCAAUGACACCAUGGAUAAGCACAGCCUGCCAGCCGAGUGCCACCCUUGAGAAGACAUCAAAGAUGAACAAACAAGAGCCAGAGGGUGAUUGAUAGGGCAGGAACUUCUACACCCAGUUUUCUGCCAAAGGAAACGUGCCAGGUUGAUCUUUAGAGACACUAAAAGCAACGAGGUGCUCUGAAGAAAGGAGCAGUAAACACUGUGAAGCAGGCAUUGACAGAAGAGGUGUCUACUGACUGGUGCAACUAGCUUUUCAGAUGUGCACUGGGGGAACUGGGAAGGUCUGUGGUUGACUCUUGGAGAUGACUGGGGAGAAGCAGAGGGGAAGAACCAGUAGGACUGCUCUAAUCUAGGACUGUUCUGUCUGCUGGCCUUCAAUAGGUAAGCUGAAGGAAAUACUGCAACAGUCAUAAAUACUCCUUUCUAAGCAAUGUGGAUUUCCUUUUCUUAUUUUUUAAUCUCUGAGAAUAAAACAUGCUCCAAAACUCAGAAACCCAGGGCAAAAUCUGUCGGUGUUUUCAAGUGCUGGACUUGCCAUGUGCUCCUGUAGAUAGAUAUCUAUGUGGCUCCAAAAACUCACUACCUACCCUGGACUGCUCUUAGUGCAUUUAAGUCAUCCCUGGGAGCUGUGCCACUGCUUCCAAGAAGGACUAAGAGACAGAGACAGGUCUCAUUCUGCUUAAAUUCAGAUAUGUAACAUUUACUACCUAAAUAUCAGCUGCUUUUCUGGGCAAUAAACUUCUUAUCUAAUUUUAACAUUCACCUUUAGAAUCAUAGAAUCAUUUGAGGCAAUGUGGGCAGCACCACAGCAGAUCCAACCCAACAUGCCAAAAUUUGCUGUCAUACGCCAGUUACAGAUCUAAUUAAAACACAGCUCCAUAGAGAUAUUUGCAGUCUAUCAGUAAGAUUGCCUGCAGAGAAUAAGCAGUGUGUUUUGGAGUUCCCUCUGCAAGAGUACUUGAUGUGGGGGGUGCUUGCUGUGUGGGGAAUUACCCUGACUUCAGUCAUGCAGCAACACGAUGGUAGACUGAAACAGCUUCCCUCUUGUGGAAGAAUUCCUGCUUUCUUGAAUCACUUGAGGCAAUAAAUAAUGACUUUGAACAUUACAUCUUUAAGACUGCUAAAUAUGUGGGAAAAUUACAAAUAUUCAGCUUUUAUCCUAUGCAAGUCCUCCAAGGCUGUAUGUCAUGCAUUUACUGAGUGGUAACAAGGGGAAGAAUACUCACAUGCUAUGUCCCCUUGCUGUGUACAAGAAGUUAUGCCACACGGUUCUGUGGGCAUGGUGGGGAUGGAUUGACGGUUGGACUAGAUGAUCUAAGUAGUCUUUUCCAACUUAUAUGAUUCUAUUCUAUUAUUCUGUGACACUAUUUGUGCAGACACGAAUUCACACUAACGUUGCUGAAAUAGGAACUCCCCAGUUAGGAACCUGAAGGGAAUCAGCAACUAGCAAGUCACCCAAGCCACAGAGCAGUGGAGUUUGCUCCAUGAGACAUGUCCACUGGGAGCUUAAAGGCAGGAAA